UGGUAAAAAUAUCAGUUUGGUCAUAUAUCGCUCUAAUAUGGUGAGCAGUUUCUACCACAAACCGUAAAUUUGUGACUAUGGCGGUUCAUUUGAAUUUU
Molecule: regulatory RNA element, 98 nt
Organism: Firmicutes bacterium CAG:345
Lineage: Bacteria; Bacillati; Bacillota
Rfam family: Purine riboswitch aptamer
About the family: Riboswitches are metabolite binding domains within certain messenger RNAs that serve as precision sensors for their corresponding targets.
Source: Rfam